This is a long non-coding RNA of Limulus polyphemus (Atlantic horseshoe crab), 113 nucleotides long. RefSeq lists it as uncharacterized. Lineage: Eukaryota; Metazoa; Arthropoda; Merostomata; Xiphosura; Limulidae. The record is from RefSeq and is a predicted model, not a curated record. The transcript has 3 exons.
ACCGAUAGUGAGGUUGAGAAUAUGCCAUUGGCUCAGUCUCUUAUUACAGCUUUAUGUGACUUGUUAUUUUGCCCAGAUUUCACAGUUUCGGCAAGCAAAAAGGCUGGUCCUGU